GCAAUCUGAAGGAACCUCCUUUCCUAUCUCUUUUCCUUACAAUUUCUUGGUCCCUGCACUACUCUCUCUACUUUCUUUUGUAAGAUCUGUCCAUCUAAGGGUGGGAGAAAGAGUAGGAAGUAUCACCUCAUUAAAUGGGAGGAUGCCAACAACCAAAUAUGAACGGAGGCCUCGGGUUUAUAAAACUAAUAGACAUGAAUGACACCCUACUUAACGUGCUGCUAAAUGGAAGGAUCUUAUCAACGUUCAUAAAUGAUAAAUCAUAAAACAGACUACCAAAUUGAAAAAAUUGGGUGCUAUUAUAUACCUUUG
This 312-nucleotide long non-coding RNA is filed under the name Amborella trichopoda. RNAcentral describes it as "long non-coding RNA (ATRI_LNC003141)". Lineage: Eukaryota; Viridiplantae; Streptophyta; Magnoliopsida; Amborellales; Amborellaceae. The record is from RNAcentral.